Long non-coding RNA from Coregonus clupeaformis (lake whitefish), 2603 nucleotides. RefSeq lists it as uncharacterized. The record is from RefSeq and is a predicted model, not a curated record. The transcript is spliced from 4 exons. Lineage: Eukaryota; Metazoa; Chordata; Actinopteri; Salmoniformes; Salmonidae.
GAAUCCUGCCAGUCCUUCCCGUUCCUCUCUCCCCUGUCACAGGUGCAGGAAAGCUGUCUGAAGAACCUGCACUACAUCCUGUCUCUGGCCUCUCUGUGCGCAUGGACCUACAGUACCUGCUAUGGCACUACGGCAACCUGAACAGUCCUGGUGGUACGGUGUUCACGGCUCGCUGGAUCCUGCCCCUGCUGUCUGUCUGUUUGGGGCUCCACUGGGCUGUGGCUGAAACCCAGAGGACAGCUUUAGGAACCUGGCUGAGCUGAUCAGCCUGGGCCAGCAAGCCCUCCCCAGGUUUGCCUUCUCUCUGCUGGGCCUAGGGCUGGCCCUGCUCUGGCUGGACCCGCUCAUCGUAUUCAUCAAGACCAGGGCAGCAGCCCCUGUCCGAGGCCCUUGAUCGAUCCCCCCACCCCGCUACCGGGACAGCAUGGGCAUCAGCCCCCAGGCAGAGCUGCACCACCUCAUCCCCCAGCUCACCAGCGCAUGCACUGCUCCCUGGAGGACGGAGAACCAGCCAAGGUUCCUUAGGGGGACGACCGGCCUGCCGUGGAGGCCUACGGGCUGGGUACGGUCUACUCGGCCCCCUUGGUCCUGCUGUGUGGCCUGAUGGGCCUGCUUCUGCUGCAUCCAGAGGGCAUGUCCCUGUCCUUCCUGCUGCUGCUCCUGGAGAUGAGAGCCCUGCUGCAGAUACAGGCCUCCUCCACUACCCUCAACGCCCUGCAGGGGACACACUCGUAAACUGCUUACAGUGUGAUCAGUUGUCUGACUAUUUGGUGGCUUUGCUGUGCCCUGGACCCCGGUAGUCCUGUGGUCCCUGGCUUCCACUCAGUUCUUCCAUGCCACAGGCCAUCUGGCCACAUUCCCCCACCAUCCAGUAGGCUGCUGCUUUCGUGGGCUUCCCCUGUGGGCACACAGGCACCAUACUUCCGGCUUCACUGGUCACCCUCAACACCUUCUCCUCACACAUCCUCUUUGCAGUGGCUUUUCCGUUGCUCCUCCGCUGGUGUGUGAGGUGGGCGGGGGACGAGGAGGAGGAGGCGGUGGGGAGGAAGGAGAGGACAAUGCUAUCAUGGAGAUGAGACUGAGGUAGAGUCCCCAGCAGUUCAGUUCUGCCCUUCUACAGCUUGCAACACGCUCCCUCUUCAUUAAUGGGGCACAGGUAAACACACACACACCCCUGCGAUUGACUCAGGACCUCCUCUCCCCUCUGCUCAUGUCUUUGCAUCAGUCUGUGCAGCUGUUAUCCUCAGAAGACAUCUAAUGUUGUGGAAUGUUUUUGCACCCAAAUACUAUUGAUGUUCAAGGCCUCAGGGUUCCUGGUGAGCAGUGUGUUUGUUCUUGUGGGGGUGACCCACGUGAUGAGAGUGGCCAUGGCAGUGGGCCGUUGGUUUAAGAGACUUCCCUGACAUGCCCAGGUAGCGCUGCUCAUGCUCCUGCUCCUGCACUGUUGCAACUGACCAGGGCUCACUCUAAGGUAUCCUACACUGUACAUCCCUAUCUGGUUCUAGGGGCGAGGCAAGGGGGGCACGAGGAUGAACAGAGGUGAUCGGGGGAAGUCGCCAUAAGGACAGCCAUAAAGAUCUGCCAUAAAAGAUCUGGAGAGUGUGAGAUGUUUGGGUGACUUGUCCUCUUAAACUCAACUUCAGUGUAGGCUGUAUGUUGUCAGCAAAGGUGCUCUCUCCUCUUGCUCUGUCAGAGCAAACGGAGCUCAAUGGAACUGGAUGGUGCAAUGUUUUAUGUCCAUCCUCAAAAUGAUCAACUCUAAAACCAUUGAAGAACAUCUAUAAUACUCCACUGUAUGUUCCUUGGUCAUGUAUGGGACAGAUCCAACCAUUACUCUCCGUUGUAUUACCUAUCGGGUGAACAGAUAUCGAGGCUGUUUACAGAGUGGAUAGGAAAGGAACCUAUGAGACCCACAAUGCUCUCUUGCACAUACUCAGUUAGGUGAGACGGGUCAAAAAGAAAUGCGUGCAUAAUGUGCAAAAGCAAUGAAUUAACCCAUCCCUGCAACGUGCAUUAUGUCUGUCAAUAACUUAGUUCAUCGCUAAUAAAUAGUUUAAUUCAUAACAAUGAUUUCUAAUCACAAAUAUACAGUAGUCUUACAUGGGCCAGUUAAACACAUUUUCCCUGGGACAGGUGCCCAGCUUUAUUGAAUGCCUUGUGUGAUGUGUUGGAUAAAAUAAAUAAAUAAUAAUAAUCCAGGACAUAAGCAUUGACUGUUUUGAUUUAUUUCUCUGUGGUAGGUACAGUGUGCUGUAGGUUACCGGACAAAGACAUUUUACAUUUCUCAGCUAUAGUCUGAAAUGCAUGAAACAGAAAGUUGAGCUCAGGUUGAAUUAGCCCCAAUGCAAUAGAGCUGCCUUGCUCAAGCUGUCUAAGUGAAUGAUUUAUGCCUACUUCUCAUGGUGGCAGGUAGUGGGUACUAUAUUUAUGCCAAUCUGAGUGAUAUUGGCAUGCCUUGUUAUGAGUACUGAUGAGUGGAAAUAGGUUCAGUUGGCACAGAUUUUGUUUGUCAAAUGUUUUCUUUUUAUAUAACCUUUGUUUAAUAUAACCAAUGAAGUAAAUUGAUCUUAUUGUGAAAAUCAAAUUAAAUAUUUUGUACAUUA